This 77-nucleotide transfer RNA is filed under the name Patescibacteria group bacterium. Its description in RNAcentral is "tRNA-Pro". It matches the Rfam family "tRNA". From Rfam's summary of the family: Transfer RNA (tRNA) molecules are approximately 80 nucleotides in length. The record is from RNAcentral.
CGGGGAGUAGCAUAGCGGCCUAAUGCGCAGGGCUGGGGGUCCUGAGACCGGAGGUUCAAAUCCUCUCUCCCCGACCA